This 494-nucleotide ribosomal RNA is filed under the name uncultured bacterium. Its description in RNAcentral is "partial 16S ribosomal RNA". It matches the Rfam family "Bacterial small subunit ribosomal RNA", at positions 28 to 507 of the family's 1533-position model. The record is from RNAcentral.
GACGAACGCUGGCGGCGUGCUUAACACAUGCAAGUCGAACGGAAAGGCCUGCUUUCCCUUGUGUUUUGGGGGUACACGGGUGGCGAACGGGUGAGUAACACGUGAGUGAUCUGCCCCCAACUUGGGUAUAAGCCUGGGAAACUGGGUCUAAUUCUCGGUAGGACUGCAGGGUGGUGCCGGUGGUGGAAAACGAUGUGCUAGUGGGUGGGGAUGAGCUCGCGGCCUAUCAGCUUGUUGUUGGGGUAACUGCCUACCAAGGCGGCGACGGGUAGCCGGCCUGAGAGAGUGGACGGCGACAUUUGGACUGGGGUACGACCCCGACGGGUACGGGAGGUAGCAGUGGUGAAGAUUGCACGAUGAGCGGGAGCCUGAUGCAGCGACGCGGCGUGGGCGGUGACGGCCUUGGGGAUGUAAUCUCCUUUGAAACGCAAGCAGGCCGCCUGGUUGGAGGUGUGGUGACGGUAGUCAUAGAAGAAGCACCGGCUAACUACGUG